Molecule: ribosomal RNA, 290 nt
Filed under: Escherichia coli
Lineage: Bacteria; Pseudomonadati; Pseudomonadota; Gammaproteobacteria; Enterobacterales; Enterobacteriaceae
Description: partial 23S ribosomal RNA
Rfam family: Bacterial large subunit ribosomal RNA
Source: RNAcentral
GGUUAAGCGACUAAGCGUACACGGUGGAUGCCCUGGCAGUCAGAGGCGAUGAAGGACGUGCUAAUCUGCGAUAAGCGUCGAUGAGGUGAUAUGAACCGUUAUAACCGGCGAUUUCCGAAUGGGGAAACCCAGUGUGUUUCGACACACUAUCAUUAACUGAAUCCAUAGGUUAAUGAGGCGAACCGGGGGAACUGAAACAUCUAAGUACCCCGAGGAAAAGAAAUCAACCGAGAUUCCCCCAGUAGCGGCGAGCGAACGGGGAGGAGCCCAGAGCCUGAAUCAGUGUGUGU